This is a non-coding RNA of Myotis davidii, 72 nucleotides long. NCBI's taxonomy places the organism in Eukaryota, Metazoa, Chordata, Mammalia, Chiroptera, Vespertilionidae. The record is from Rfam.
GGGGGUAUAGCUCAGGGGUAGAGCAUUUGGCUGCAGAUCAAGAGGUCCCUGGUUCAAAUCCAGGUGCCCCCU